UUUUUUUUAUCUAAAUUUAAUCUAAUUUAAAAAAAAAUUAGAUCUAAUUUGAUCCGUAUAUAUUUAAUUUUUUUAAGUUACUUUUGUUAUACAAUUAUAAUAAAAUAUAUAAUAAUUCAGCCUGAAGUCCGACCCGAUAAAUCUCUCUCUAUAUAUAUAUUUAAAGAUUCUCUUUGAGAGGAGGGUACUUCAUACACUCUUUUUCUUUUAUCUUCUUCUUCUCUAUUGCUUCACCAGAAUGUCUUUCCCUUCUUUUUCCACGUACUAAGAAUGAUAAAAUAAAAAUUUUUUAACACAUUAAAAAUUAUUUAUAUUAAAAAAACACUAUCUUAAAUAUAAUAAAUAUUUUUUAUAUUAAAAAACAUAAAUAAAAAUAUUAAAUAUUUUAUUGUAUUAAAUAUAAAUUUUAAAAUUUUAUAUUUUGGUUUAGGUUAUUUAGUUGAAUAAGUUUUUUUAAAAGUUUUGAGUAAUGAGUUUAAUUGUUAUUGGGUUAAUGAUUUAAUAUAAGUAUAAAUAUAUAUAAUUAUUAUUUAACAUAUAUAUAAUUAAUAUAAUAUUAUUUUAUAACAUAAUAUUCGGGCUGAAUCGAGCUCGGGCCAAGAAAAUCUUACUAAAAGCUCAAAUCAUAUAGAAAAUAGACCUUAAUUUUACCUAAGCUCAUUUUUUGGGUGGAUCUUGAGGCUUGGGCUAGCGGUCCAGCCCAUGAGUAGGUCUAGGUGGAAUAAUAAAUAAAUAUUUAAUGUUUGAAUUUAUUUUUUAGUAAAUAAGUACCGUUAAACAAUAUUUUUUAAAUUGAAUUGGUGGUCGAACCGGUUAGGCCAUCAAUUCACUGGUCCAAUCGAUUUAAUUAAAAAAUUAUUAAUUAAAAAUUUUUUUCUAUUCAACUGAUUUAAUCGUUGAUUAACGAUUCAACUGAUUUUUUACUUAAUUUAUACUGAUUCUUAUAUACAAAAAAAUAUAAAAAAUAGUUAUAAUAUUAUAAAAUUUAUAAUUUUAAUCAAGAUAUGUAAAUUUAAAAGAGGGGUAUUUUGAUAGUUUUUAGGGGUGGGCCGAUGCAGGCUUGAUCAAAACUGAGAUCAAUUUCAUCCUGACCCAAAACUCGAUUUUCUUUUCAAUUUCAUCCCCUCUCUAACCAAAUCGGGUUGAAAUCCAAUAGAUUUGGGUUAAUUUGCUAGUCAUCAAUUAUUGCUUGGACCCUGUCAACUCUAAGAUCAACUGGAUCUUCAUCAAUUGCCCUCAAACAUUUUACAUGAAUGUUUCCAAAAAAUAAUAGCAAUUGGAAUUGAAAAAUUAUUUUUGUGUCGUUUUAGUUCGAUUGGUAUCGGUAUUAUUGUCAGUGCAGGAGGAUGUGGGUUCAAGUGCGUUGAAAUGUAUUAUCCUCCUAUUUAAGGGUUGAGAAUGGGCUAUGGGUAGUUUUAGACUUAUUAUAUCAAAAAGAGCAAAUAUGAUUAAUGUUAAAAAAUAGACCCUAAAAACUUGACCAUUUUUUUCUCUUCUUUUUUACUUGAGAAUAUUACGGGUAAAUUUCAAUUCCAAUCCUUCUAUUUUUUAAUUACAAAAAAUGGUUAAAUUUUAAUCUGAUCCCUAUAUUUCACUCAAUUUUGAGAUUUAAUUUAUAUAUUUUAAAAUUGACAUGACUUGAUAUCUCAACUUUUAUAAUGUCAUUGGUUAGUCUAAAUAUUUUUUUCUCGUUAAAACAAUGGUGUGAAUUUUUAAGAAUUGUUAGCACCAUGAAAAAUCUUUGUUAAAUUCGGGUUUAUUACAAUGUUAUUUUUUUGUUAUGUGGAUACCAAUUUAUUUUAUUUUAUUUUUUUGAAAAUGCCACACCAACACAAUAAUUAAGACAAUGUUAACAAAUAGACCUAAAUUUUUAAAUUUGAAAAGUAAAGAGACUAAAUUUUUUAAAAUAAAAAUUUAGAGAUUAAAUUCUAAAUAUACGAAUAAUACAAAAAUUUCAAACAAAUUAUAAUUUUUAAAUUUUUACACUAUAAAUUAAUUAAUAAUUAAUUAAUAAACUCAACAAAAAUUGUGGGUGAAACCAUACUAGUAAGUAGUAACUAUACAUAAAAUGUAUUGGACUUGCUGCCACGUGUCACACCCAACUAUAUUCAUUUUCUAUUCUUUUUGCAUUUUUACCAAAAACUGUUAAAUUUCAGCUUUGGUCCCUUUAAUAGGCCUAAAUUUGAGAUUUAAUCUAUAUACGUUAAUUUCUAAAAUAAUAUGUCCCUUAUAGUUUUAUAAUGUUAUUAUUUAGUACAAAUAGUUAAUAUUGUUUACUUUUUUAUUAAAACAUUAUGUGGUUAUAUAUAAAUUGAAUACCCUAAGUCUUAGAGACUAACUUGUGGCUUCCCAAAAUAUUUGCGUUAUUUUUUCUUUUUUACAUUAUAAGACAAUGGUCAAAUUUUAAUUUUAACCCUAAACUGUAUUGAAACUUGAGAUUUAAUCUAUAUACUUUAUUUAUCUUUUACAUAAUUCGGUCCCUCUAAUUUUAUAAAGUCAUUAGUUUGUCUAAAUAGUUAAUAUUGGUCAACUAUUUCAAUCAAAAUGUUGGCGUCAAUCUAGAAAAAAAUAUUUCAUCAUGACGAUUUUGAAUGGGUAUUUUUAAGAAAAAUUGUAAUAAAUAUUUUCAAUGUUUUUUUUAAUAUAUGGCUACGAAGUGAAUAUAUAUUUUUUAAUUUCAAAAUGUCAUACUUGAGAAUUAAUAAAAGAAAUUUAACGAUGGUAUCAAUUGGACCUGGAAUUUUAAAUCCAAAAAGUAGAUUAGUAUAUUCUCAAAAAUAAAAGUAAGGGGACUAAAUUCCAAAUGUAUGAAGUGUAUAGGGACUUGGAGAAUAUUUUAACAUUUGAAUUUUUUACUUUAUAAUUUGACAUAAACAAAUAAUCAACCCAACACGAAGUGUGGGCUAGGAACCACGCUAGUUUAUAUUGAAUUUUAAGUUCAAGAUAAGUACAACAAAAUUACCUCUAACAUGGUCAAAGACGAAACCAAAAUAAUGUUGAUAAUUAAGAAAUAAAGAAAUAUAUAAUUGUUGAAGGGGUAUCGACUUCUUCCAGAGAUGUCUUCAAUAUGCCGUCCUCUAAGCAACCGACUGAAGCCCCCAACAACCAAAGGUAUUGUCCUUGGGAGAGAGUAUUGUCCCCAGCCUCCGCGAAGAGCCAAUGUGCCGUGAGUGGCUACCCUGAAAGUCUACUUCAUACAUGGGUGCCUCGAUUAUACGUAGACAUAUGACCACUCAUUGAGAGGCAAUGAAAGCAUCUCGCCCUUGGUGGAGUUUAAACCCCUCACCAAUAACAUAUAAGUCACUUAUUGGGGUAUAUCUGACCCAUAUAGAUCACAAUGACAAUCUUUUUUAAUUCAUUUUCUUCUUCUUCUUCUUUAUCAAGCACCGUCAAUUUUAUUUUCUAUCCACAUUUUCGCUGUCAAUUUUUUUAUUCUAUUUUUUCAUUUAACUAAACGUACCUUAAAUGUCAGUUUGAAUAUGACGCGGAGCACGUGUAAAAUACAUGAAUCAAAUUGUAAUUAAAGACAUGUUUAUAAUGUAUUUGUCACAUAAAUAACUUGAAUUUGACAUGUUAAAAGAAACAUAUAGCAUCAUUAAUAGGGGUGAAUUUAGAAAUUUUCUAAACAUUGGAAUUGAAUUAUAAAAUUUUUGAGAGUUCAAAGUGUAAUUUUAUAAUGUAUUAACUUAUAAUUUCAUCAUUUUAAAAAAAUACAUUUUUUUAGAGAUGUAAAGCAUAAUUUUAUCAUUACAAAAUUUUAAUUUAAUCAUUUAUAAUAAAACUAUAAAGAAACUUCUUAGGGGUGGGUUUCAAAGCCCACAUAUCCCCCACAUUGUAUUAUCCUCUUAACGUCCAAUGAAUGUCCGAAAUUAACCUAUAUUAUUUUUUUGGUAAAAAAGUAGCAGAAAUCAGCUACAUCAACAUAGUUCUAAUGAGAAUUUCCCAUGGUUUCGAUUUGCUGAAGAUCAGCUAACAACAAUCCUCUAAUAUUCAUUGGAGGCUAUUUAAAAGUGCAAAUCAUAUUUAAAUCUUCAGCAUCCAUCUUCGCCAAGUAAUCCACAACCUUAUUUUGUUCCAUUGGAAUAUGUCGAAAUUAAUAGCUAAAUUGAUGGAAGGAGCUAAUUAUAUGAAACCAUAUUUUGAAGACUUAAUCAAAAUUCUUUGAAGAUUAGGACCAAAUUAAAAUCUAAAUUAUAAAUUGAGAACCACUGCUGCAAUUAAUCUAAAGAGUAUCAUAUAAAGCCAAAUUUGGCGUUAAAACUUUAAAUUUUCUAUUUAUUUAUCAGUUUCCCACCGUACAAGUUUUUUCCCGCGUUUCUUCGAAGGUUUCUAAUAACUUCUAUUGGUUUCCAUUUCUUAAUCCAAAAUAUAAUUUACAAAGUAUGAAGUUAAUUAUUUUUGUAAAAAAUGGAAGCUUAGUUUGCAAAUCAGAUCAAAACAUUCGGGAUUUUAGCCAUUUUUUCAGGUGAAUUACGAGCGCAUCGGAGUUAUUCUACACUCGAAGGUCGAGUGGGCCGACGACCCGACCCGCAUUCAGGAUUUGGGUCCUUAAUUGAUCGGAAUUACAAUCGCGCCGGAAAUCAUUUCAGUCACCAUAAUCGGAGGCUUGAUUUGGACGGCCGUGAUCCUCUCCGCCGUAUUCUCUACGCUCACGUGGCUUCUCCCUUUCCCUACGCUCAUUGCACAUAAUGUUUUUUUUUCGUUUGGUUGCUUAGAAAAGAAAAACGGAAAAAGGAAAAAAAUAAGUAUACGAAUUAAUAGAUGUUCUUGGAAGUGAAAAUAGAUUGAAUUUUCAUUUUGUUGAAAUAAAUUUUGAUUAAUUAAUUUAUUUUGCUUUGAAAAUCAGUAGCUUAAAGAUAAAUCUAUUAGUUGAAUUACUGAAAGUAGUUAUGAAAUGUAAAAUUUUCUCGAUAAUUUAUCUGAGUUCUGAGCCCUAAGCUAAAUUGCUGUAAAUUUCAUCCAAUAACAUAUAAUAUGUAUACAGAUAGAUAAGAUUGCUUGAUAUUGCAUUACCUUGUGAUUUGCUUUUACUUUGGGGAAAUUACUUAACAGUUAAGUGCAUUGAGCUAGUGUUGCUAGUACCUCUUCUUCAGUAAUGAAUAUUUUGAGUGUCUUUCAGAGAAAUGCUAUAAUGAAUUUGGCUUUGUCAUGCAGCAACCAGUUUGUGUAAGUAGUUCAAGUAGGCCACGUUUAAGUUCGAACUAGCGACUUCCCGGAGUUUUGCUGCGAGUAAGAGGCGCGUCCAUUUCUUCAAACAGGUUGGUGCUUAGAGCUCUCUGCAAGUUUCAAAUUCAUAGCACUUGCAUUGGUUGUAUUUACUGUGAUUAUUUACCUUGUCAAGUAGAGCUAGUAAUUCUGCAAGUUCAUAGCAUUUGCAUUAAUGCACUUAUGGCACUUUUAGUGCUUUUGCUGCACUAGUUGGACUAAAAAUAUAUCCACCAUUCUUGCUUUGACACCAAUUUCCAUUCAACCCGUUUAAAUUCUCGAAGGACAGCAUAUCUAUAACUUUCUCAACUCUACUAGAAUCCAAAUCAUGAUUUUGCUUUUUUGUUCUACUUUUAUUUCGUGGAUAUGUUGAGUGGUGCAAAAUGAUCAAAAGGGGGGCAACUAUUAAACUAUCAACUUGUGUCAUAAUCUGUAUAGGACGAUUCAGUGUCAUAUAUGGUUGAUUGUGAUCCAUUAUUGUUGCUGCAUCCAUAAAAUGAAAUUGUGGGUCUGACUGGGUUUAGCAAUAAGGAAAAGAGGUACCAUGUGAUCUUUUAGGAAGAUAGAUGGCUUGGGUUAUCACCGGUUUAUGCAUAGAUCAAUUUCAUAGGAGUAACCUAAAAUGCACUCUGAUGCAGCAAUUUGUCGGUUGCAUUGUCACUAGUGUAUUCAAUUUUCAAUAAUUGUUUUGGCGCUUGAUACCCUAGCUAUUUUUUUAUAGAAUUGCCUGCUAUAAUCAUCAUGUUUCAACAGACUUUUUUUUGUCCCUCUUUAGACAUUAGAUAUUCUGGUAAAAUUUUGCUAUUAGUCCAUAUACUAUGCACAAGUUGCAAAUUUUUGUACUUAUACUCUAAUUUGGUUAUUUUUAGUCUUUGUACUUUUCAAAUUUUGAAAAUUUAGUCCUGAACAAUGGCUGACAAAUUCAUUAAGUUAAAAUUUGUUAUUUCCAACAUCUUAUGCCACAAACAUAUUAUCACAUUUGUAAUUCUAUGUUAACUUGCUAUUUUCACAUAAUACUUCAAGAAAAUCGUUUCAUAUUAGUUAAUAAAUUUAAUAGCUCUUGUUUGAGUCAAGAUCGAAAUUUUAAAAUUUGAAAAAUAUAAAGAUUAAAAAUGAUCAAUUUGAAGGACGUGGAUUAAAUCCACAAUUUAACGCCAUAGUAUGGAACUAAUAGCAGAAAUUUUAGAGUACAUAGACUAAAACCUGCAACUUACAUAUAGAACAUGGACCAAUAGCAGAAUUUGACCACUUAUUUAUAUUCUUGAACAGAUUAAAUUCACUCUUUUUAUGCUCAAAAAAAAUCUGUCAUUACUUUGAGCCUACUUCUGUUAAUGCAUUAAAUCAGAUAUUUCUUUUGCUACUCCCCAGCUAUUAGUAGUACCAUAAUUUCCAGGCCCACUGCUGCUUGACUUGCAUCACUAACAACCAAAACGGUCCAGUCCCACUGCCGGUGUGCUUCCCAUGUAGUAUAUUAUUGUUAUUUACAUCACUUUCCACUACCACUAUUACCCAGCUAACUUCCUAGUAAAUUAGCAUUUCUAACCAUGUGGACCACUAGAACUUGUGGCACUCAGUAAUGAAGAUAUUUAUGUUUCUGUCUUUCAUUACGCAGUGGACUACUUCAAGGUCCGAACUGCGGUUUAAACAUUUUAUACUUUUUUUCCCUUUUUCGUUUUCUAAUUUACUUAUUUUGUCCUUGUUUUAAUUUUUUGAAUUUUCUUUUGACUGAAUCAGAAAUCAGUAUUUUGAUUGAUUUGAACGUCGAUUUAAUUUUUGUGACACAGCUAUCAUGUAGGCAGAGGUUUCGUUCACUAGACUUGCUUAGAUCUUGGGUUAGAGCUUGUGGGAACUGACCUUACUAUAGAAAAAGCAUAUACUAUCUCUAUUAUGUACCCAGUUGCAAGGUAUUUGAAUUAAAUCCCACUUAAAAAGUAUGAGAUUUUUAGUGAAAUUUAUAUGAACCAUGUUUGUCUCAACUUCAACAACUAGCUUUUGAGGUAUAAUUCUCCAUUGAUCUAUUUUUGUUAGUGCUUCAGUUUCCUUAACAUUGAUAGCGUGUGAACUUUAAAAUGUAAAGUAUCUAUCGGUUUCAAUGUCCCUUUCCUUGCUUGACCAACCUGCCCUACUUGUUUUCCAAAAUGGACUGAAACCAAAUUGUUUUAUGUUGUUGUCAGCUACAGUAUUGGUACUCACCAUGCUCAGAGUCUCAACCUCUAUGUUAAAACCUUUUUCCUUGAAAUUUCCUAGGCAAUUUUGGACACAUAACAUACAUAAAAAACAAUACAAAUAUAUAAUAUUAAUAUAAAAGUAUGUCAAUAGUAAGUUUAAGGUUAAAAUAUAUCAUAAGUCCUCAUGUUUUUCAAAAAUCUAAAAUUUAAUCUUUGUAUUUUGUUAAAUUUAGAUUUAUUAUAAUGUCUUUUUUUUAGUUACAUAGCUAUCAAAUGGAUAUUUUUUUAUUUUAAAAUAUUAUACUAAUAAAUUUAAUAAAAAAAUUUAACUAUAUUAAUAAUUAAAUCUGAAUCUUAAAAUAAAAAAAGUGAUACAAUUACUGAAAUAGGGAUUAAAUUCUAAAUUAGGUAGAAAGAAUUUACCUAAUCUGAUAUGACAUUUAUCAUGAUUUGAAAGUUUUGUAUUAAAAUGCCAAUUUCCCCACACGAGAAAUGUCACAUGUAUCACAACUUGUUAGGAUCAUUAUUUAUAAUAAACAUAAAAGCAGAUGUAAAUCAUAUCCCUCAUUUGACUCUCUAGAGGCAAAAAGAGGGAAGCAUAUUAUACUCCACUUAAUACAUUGAACAUAUACUCUUCCUUUUUCAAUUGUAUAAAAUAUUCAUUUAAGAUAAUCUUUAUCAUGAAGAAAGCUAAAAAGAAACUUAAAGGAAAAAAUGAAAAAAAGGGGAAAAUGAAAGUUUAAGUUUUACAGAAGAUCCUUAUACUAUGAAUUUUUUGUAUAUCUAGUCCUAUAUAAUUUAAUAUUUCUACUCCUAUUUUACCAAACAGGUAUUUUUAGUUUGGAUGUCAACUUUUUCUUCUAAUUUUGCUAAAUAUUAUAAUAGGAUAUAGCACUUGACUGUACAUCUACAUUUUGUACAAUUAGAUAUUAUUUUUGUAUAUUUAGAAAAAGAAUAAAAUUAUAAUAAAGUGUAUAAAAAAAUGCAAAAGUGAUAAUGUAUUUAAAUAUUAAGGUAAAAUUAAUCUCAAGUUAGACCCAUGACAACCCACUACCUCUACCCCUAUAAGCAUUACAAAAAAGUGAUUGAGGGUUAAAAAUUAUCAAAGUAUAGAAAAAGGACUAAAUCCGAAAAAAUGAAAAAUGCAGAGUCCUUUAUGAAAUUUUACCAAAAUGAAAACGGAAACUUAAACGCGGAGAGUACAGCAGUAUUCGGGUCUUUGGUCAUCUUCCUCUUCACGCGGCAUCUUCCUCUUUAAUCGCCAUUUUCGCUUUCUCUCUCAUUAUAUAUCUUUAAAAACCAUUCUUCAACCUAACAAAAAAAACCACAGCAACAAAAAAGAAAACCAUACAAACAAAUCCUAAAAGACUCUCUUUACAACGUAAAGAGCAAAAACCCCAACAGCAAAACGUGUAGUAAUAAGGCAAAAACACGGUAGGGAAGGAAGGUUGUUAAUAUAUACAUAUAAAAGUUAUAACGGAAGAAAGGUCGAACGAUUCAAAAAAACCCAACGAUGGCUAUGAUGUUACGGUCGCUCGCUAGGCCGCUUGAACGUUGCCUUGGGUUAAGGGCCGGUGGGGAUGGUCUCAUGUGGCACACUGAUCUUAAACCUCAUGCUUCGGGCGAGUACUCAAUCGCCGUCGUUCAAGCCAAUAAAAACCUUGAAGAUCAAGGCCAAGUCUUUACAUCUCCUUUAGGUACCUAUGUUGGUGUUUAUGAUGGUCAUGGCGGACCCGAAGCUUCCAGAUUUGUAAACAAGCAUCUUUUCCCAUUUCUCCACAGUAAUUGUUCUUUGACCCUUUUAAUCUUUUUCUUAAUUAUUUUUCUGGGUUUUUUUUUAGAUUAUCUGAAAUGGGGUUUUCUUUGCGUCUAAUUUUUCAAGAUUCAAAUAUUCUUUUGUGUUUUAAUGGUCAAAGAGAAUUUUGGGUUUUUGUCAGUUAAUGAUAUUUUGAACAACUUACAAAGUGUCUAUCAUGCACGUUUAUUUAGUUAUUAUUUGUGUAUCUGAAUGAAUAUGAAUUACUUUGUCUAAAUAUAAAUCUUUAUGCGUUUGAAAUUGGAAUUUGGUUCUCAAGAUUCUAAAACCAUUCAGUUUAAUUUCAAUUUUUGGCACCUUUCACCUCCUUGCUUUAUUGGGUUUUGUCAGUGAAUGGUUGUGUUCUUGUUUUAAUUUUUCUGUCUUAAUUGUAGAAUUUGCUACAGAGCAAGGGGGAUUAUCUGCAGACGUGAUAAAGAAGGCGUUCAAUGCUACUGAAGAAGAGUUUUUACAUUUGGUGAAGCAAUCAUUGCCCGUAAGGCCUCAAAUUGCUUCAGUUGGAUCAUGUUGCCUUGUUGGUGCGAUAUCCAACGAUGUGUUGUAUGUGGCGAAUCUCGGCGACUCGAGAGCAGUUCUUGGCAAAAGAGUUUCGGAGGAUAAGAAAAACAAGGUUGUGGCAGAGAGGCUAUCAACAGAUCACAAUGUUGGAGUUGAGGAAGUGAGGAAAGAGGUUGAGGCUCUUCAUCCUGAUGAUUCGCAUGUCGUGGUUUACACUCGCGGAGUUUGGAGGAUUAAGGGCAUAAUCCAGGUACUUAACAAAAUCUAUUGGCAAACCCAAUUAUAAGAGUUUUAAGUUGAAUCAGACAGGUUGAAGAACAGUUCAUGUUUUGGUUCAAUGAAUUCGAUGGAUAUACAUGUUUCUUUCCAUCAAUUGCUUGUAUGUUUGUAGAAAAGGUAUAUUUACAAAACAAAUAAACAUUGUGCAUCCUCUGAAUCAUAAUGCUAAGCUUAUGUGACUAUAUGGAGUCUUCUCUCUUUUCUUUUUCGGGUUUUUUGGGUUCCUUUUGUUGAUUUCUUUCCCCUUUAACUUCAGCAGUUAAAUGGUUCUCUGUAAUGGAUAAUGUUGGUCUAAGCAUUGAACUUGUUUCUUUAUUCAGGUGUCAAGAUCUAUCGGUGAUGUUUACUUGAAGAAACCCGAUUUUUAUAGAGAUCCAAUCUUUCAACGAUUCGGAAACCCUGUUCCCCUUAAAAGACCAGUUAUCACGGCAGAACCCUCCAUCCUUAUUAGAAAGCUUAAGCCCCAAGACUUAUUUCUGAUAUUUGCAUCAGAUGGCCUAUGGGAACAGUUGAGCGAUGAAACCGCGGUAGACAUUGUUUUCAGAAACCCCCGAGCUGUGAGUAUUUACCUUUGUCUUAUUGGUUAAUUUAGUCUUCAUUAGCAGCUGGACCGAAUGACAGAGUAUUGAUUUUAAGUUUGCUUGUAUUACUUGCAGGGUAUUGCUAAGAGACUGGUAAGUGCCGCACUUAGAGAAGUUGCAAAGAAAAGAGAGAUGAGAUACGGCGAUAUUAAGAAAAUCGAGAAGGGAAUAAGACGGCAUUUCCAUGACGAUAUAACCGUGAUCGUCAUUUACCUAGAUCAACACCGAGGCUCUUCACAUAACAUAGUUAAACAUAAUGCCAUGGGGUGCACGACGGCGCCAGUCGACAUCUAUUCAUACAAUGCAGAUGAAGGAUAUGAAGGAGAUUUACUUCAAACAGUUUCUUGAAUACACAACAGAAUGAGUUAAUAUUAGGUUUAGCACACUGACUUUUUAUUCUUUUUCAAGUCUUAUUCAUGUAUAGAGAAACCAAAUGAUGGGGUGGGAUUGGUUCUUAAACCAAUGUUUCAUUGGGAGAAAAAUCGAGAGUUUGGAAGGUAAUUUUAGUCACCUCAGACGGAUUCCGACACAGGCGGCUAUAGGUGUUCCGGUUGAAGUUCUAACGGUUACCGAAAAGGCUACAUUGUUUUAUUGGUUUAUUAAAUUCAUUGCUUAUAUUAUAUUUAAUUCGAAGUGAGUAACUAAAGACAAUUAAUUACGUUAUUAAUUUUUCUUGUCAAUUAUACAUAAUUUUGAUUGGUGUAAUAACAAAUUUAACCCUUAAUAUUUAUAUAUUUUGUGCAAAUGUUGACAGAAUAUGUAAAUGUUGUAGGUUAAUUUCGUUAAAUCGUGAUUAAAUUGACAGAACAUGUAAGUGUUAUGGGUUAAAUUUGUUAAAUCAAUGUUAAAUUGACAAGAAGUAUAAACUUUAAGGGCGAAUUUUGUUACUAUACCGAUAGAAAAAGUAUAAUUGAUGAAAAAAUAUUGAUGUUAUGAUUAAUGGUCAUUAGUUGCUCACUUUUAAAAUCGACAAGAUUAAAUUGUUAUAGUUUUUUUGAGAGGGACCAAUUUGUUCAAAAUGAAAAUUGAGAAGAAUCAAAAUGUCAUUGUACCUGGUUCUUAUACAUACCAUAUCUAAGUUGUGAAUUUAGUUUUUGUACAUUAAUUUACUCAAUUUCAGUCUCUUUACUUUUUAAAUUUAAAAUUUUAGUUAUGAUUUAGAUUGUAAAUUAAAUUCGUUUCAUUCUAUUAUGUUAUUAGUCUUAUACUAUUAUUACAGUUGUGAAUUUAAUUCAUGUUUUUUAAUUUUAUCAUUUUUAGUCGUUAUACUUUUCAAAUUUUAAUGCAAACGAAAAUAGUUAAAUCCAUUAAACGUAGGUUUUCUAUGUGUGCAAUAUAUGAAAAUAGCAAAUUGCAACUAUUAUUUGAUCGAGACUAAAAUUGAAUAAUACAAAAAAUACAAAAAUUAAAAUUAAAUAAAUUAAAAGAUAGAUAUUAAACUCACAAUUUAUUCAUAUACAUAAACUAAUAACAUAAUUCUUAAUACUCUUAAAUUAAAAACAACACUUAAUAAACUACGAGAGUUAGGUGAGAUGACAAAUAUCUCUCCUAUAUUAACCAGUGGUUGAAAGUUUGAUCCUCGCAUUGGGUAUAGAAUAACUUUAAAAACUCGUAGUCGGCAUCUAUUAUUUUAAUAGACCUAAAAAUGCGGAGAAUUAAUUACUGAACUCGCUCUAAGCAUGACAUAACACGACAAAGUUGGCUUGUAAUUUGUAUAUCUAAACCAAAAGGGAAAAAAUGUUUUGCGAGACAAAUUCCUUAAACUGAAAGACAUGGGAAUUUUGGCAACUAGAUAGCAAUAACCAAACUUGUUAGGUGAAACGAACCAAACUAAAGCACAAAACGACAAUCAGUUGCGCUAAAGUUAGGAUGUCUUGUCACUUUUAAAUUUUUAUUAUACAACUUGCUUCACUAAACAAAUACUAUUUAAUGAACUUUUUAAUAUUCUUACUCUACUUUUCAAUAAUUCAUAAAGCUAAUAAAUAUAUUAUAUUCUUUCAAAUUACUUUUCUUUAAAUUAUUUUUUCUUUAUUUUAAUUGAAAAUUUUUAUUGUAUUAAUUGCAUAAAAAUACUCAAAAUUUUAAUUUAUUCUUUAAUUUCGAAAUAUGUUUAAACGUUAAAACGUUAAUUUUGAUAUGAUGUAAAGUACAUUUAAAAUGCCCGAAUUAAAUUGUAAAUUUAUGUAUACUUACAUCAUUAAUAACUUGGAUCUUACGUAUUAAAAAAAUAGUGUUAAUAAAUUUUAGGAGGGUUAACACUUUUAACUGUUAGAACGAUUUUUUUAAGUAGAAAUCAUGUUGGUACUCUAACUAGAAUGGUUAUACUUUAGUUACUUGGGUUAACUGUUAAUAUUAUAAAAAGUAGAAGAUUAAAUUACAUUAAAUAAAAUUAUGGAGAUUAAAUUUUAAAUUUGAGCACAAUAAAGGGACCAAAACUAUAAUUUAACUCUUUUUAAAUUCAAUAUUUUGUUGAAGGAUUAAAUUGGGGUUGAACUUGAAACCUACUUCUAUAUUGGGGCUUGAACUUUUUUUUUGUCUAAGUUGCUCCCUAAACUUAGCAAUUUUUCUCAUAUUGAAGUUUGAACUAGGCCAUUGUUCUAAGGGGCGAAGCCAAAAUUUUUUUUUUUGGGAGUUGGAAUUAAAUUGUAUAUUUUUAUGGUAGUAAGAAUGUAAUUUUACCAUUUUAAUAGCCUAUGUCAUUAUAAUUUUAAAGGAUUAAAUCAAUUUUGUAUUAUUUAAGAGGUUAAAGUUCAAAUUUAUCAUUACUAAUUUAAAAUUUUAUAAAUUAUAAAAAGUUUAAAUAGAAAAUUUUUCAUUUUAGGGGGAACUGGGGGCCUUGCCAACCUCUCUGGCUUUGCCAUUGAUUGUUUCCAUAUUGGAGCUAAACUUGACAAUUGUUCCUACAUUGAUGCCUAAGUUUUAGGGUUUUCAAAGAAACAUCAUGGAUUAAUUUGGAUCAAAAAAGGUUCAAGCCCCAAUAUAAAAACAAUUACCACAAAAAAAUUCAGGUCUCAAUAUGAAAAUAAUUACCAAUUUCAGGCCCAAAAAGGUGAUUUAACCCUUUGCCCAACCCCAUUCAAGUUACCAAACGAGAGGAAAAUAACAAAUUCCUAGAAAAUCUACAAUUUUGUGCGCUAAAAAAGAAAAUACAAAUAGUCGUUUCAGUAUAAUUUUCUCGGAAAAUAACCAAAACCCAGUCCUUUAAGCUUCAACAUCCAAAGAAAAAAGAAUGACUGCAAGUCAUUUGGUUGCUGAAUCCGUGUGGAAAACAAUAGAGUCAACUCAUUCAGGUCUUUCUUUUUUUCCCCCCUUAUUUAUUCUUUCUAUGUAGAAACUAAAUUCCAUCUUCUUCUUUUUUCCUUUUUUAAAUCCCUAAAUUUUGUGAUCUUAUGACCCAAAUUGGCCAGUAAAUGAAGAGCAACUAUCAAUGUAAGCAAUACUCAUUUUCUUUUAAAUCUUUUAUUCUUGGGCUUUUUAAAAUAAAAAUAAAAAUAAAAAUGGUGGGUAUUGAUUAAUUUUGAAUUUUCUUUUAUUGUAGCUUGCAUUUUCUGUUUGGUAAAAACUUCGAGAGAGCAACAAGGAUAGUUGACCAAAGGGGUGUCAAGAAAAUCUCCGGUGAACCCAGCGGUCGUUUUAUCUUUCAGGUUCAUUCUCUUUGUUGCUAUCUCAAUUUUUGAAUAUUGGUCGAAUUCUCCUAUUAGUCCAUGCACUCUGCAUAAAUUGCAGAUUUAAUCCAUGUUCCUCGAUUUAAUGUUUUUAAUGAUUUGUUUUUCAAAUUGUAAUUUUAGUAUCAUGUUAUAUCUAUUUAAUUUAAUUAUUUUAUUUCAGUUAAUAAAUUUCACUGCUAUUGGAUAUAAGAAUAAAAAUGAUAAAAUUUUAGAACAAAUAUUAAAUCUAUAAGGUUAGGACAGAAAAAUCCAAAUAUUAUAAAAUUAAAAUUGACCAAAUUAAAAUAUGUAGACUAAAUCUGUAAUUUAGACUUAGUAUAUAUACUAAGGGAAGAAUUUGUCAUAGAAUAUUUGGACGAGUUGUCGGCUACCUUAUGUGUAAAAUAUGGUCAUUUUGGCAAAUAUUCCAUUUUAAGAACUUUCCUGGAAACUUUUCUGAAACUGUGAGCCUUGAGAUAAAACCCGAAGCAGAAUUGAGACACAUCAGUAUAUAUCCAUUUGUAUAUCUCAAUAUAUAUAUAUAACAUACGCCUGUCUAGUUAGAAUAUUUGGACAAGUUGUCGGCCACCUUAUCUGUAAAAUGUGAUCAUUUUGGCAAAUAUUCCAUAUUUAAGAACUUUCCUGGAAAAUUUCUGAAACUAUGACCCAUCAAGGCUCUUGGCAGAAUCGUGAGAUAAAACCUGAAGCAGAAUUGAGACACAUCAAUAUAUAUAUCCAUUUGUAUAUCUCAAUAUAUAUAUACAGACGCAUGUGUAGUUAGAAUAUUUGGACAAGUUGUCCUCUACCUUUUCUGUAAAAUGUGAUCAUUUUAGCAAAUAUUCCAUCUUAAGAACUUUCCUGGAAAUUUUUCUUAACUAUGACCCAUCAAGGCUCUUAGCAGAAUGGUGAGAUAAAACCCGAAGCAGAAUUGCGACACUUCAAUAUGUAUCCAAUUGUAUAUCUCAAUAUAUAUAUAUACAUAGGCAUGUCUAGUUAGACUAUUUGGACAAGUUGUCAUCUACCUUAUCUGUAAAAUGUGAUUAUUUUAGCAAAUAUUCCAUCUUAAGAACUUUCCUGGAAAAUUUUCUGAAACUAUGACCCAUCAAGACUCUUAGCAGAGUCGUGAGAUAGAACCCGAAGCAGAGUUGAGACACAUCAAUAUAUAUAUCCAUUUGUUAUAUAUAUACAUACGCAUGUCUAGUUAGAAUAUUUGGUCAAGUUGUCAUCUACCUUAUCUGUAAAAUGUGAUCAUUUUAGCAAAUAUUCCAUCUUAAGAACUUUGCUGGAAAAUUUUCUGAAACUAUGACCCAUCAAGGCUCUUAGCAGAGUCGUGAGAUAAAACCCAAAGCAGAAUUGAGCCACAUCAAUAUAUAUAUAUCCAUUUGUAUAUCUCAAUAUAUAUAUACAUACGCGUGUCUAGUUAGAAUUUUGGACAAGUUGUCAUCAACCUUAUCUGUAAAAUGUGAUCAUUUUAGCAAAUAUUCCAUCUUAAGAACUUUCCUGGAAAUUUUUCUGAAACUUUUUUUUCCCAUUGUUUGGUGCUUUAGGUUGUGGGAGAAUCUAGAAGAAAAGAAGAAUAUUUCUGUUUUGCUGAACAUUAUUGUGCUUGUUAUUCAUUCUUUUAUGAUGUAAUUAACAGAGCAGAACAGCUUUGUGUAAGAUUUCUUUAUUCCUUUAUUCCCCUUAUUUUAUUGCAUUUAAUAUAUAGGUAAAAUUUUUGAAAUUGAGCAAAUUGGUCCCUCUAAAAAAUUAUAGCAAUUUAUCUUUGUCAAUUCCAAAAGUGAGCAACUAAAAAUAAUUAAUCAAGACGUUGAUAUCAUUUGUCAAUUGUACAUAGUUUUGAUUGGUAUAAUAACAAAUUUAGCCUUGUUAUUUACAUGUUUAUACAAAUAUUGAGUUGCAUUUAUUAAAUCAGGACAAAAUUGAAAGAAUAUGUAACUUUGAGAGCUAAAUUAUUUAUUAUACCAAUCAAAUUUAUGUACAAUUGAUGAUCAAAAUAUUAAUGUUGUGAUUAAUUAUUCUUAGUUGCUCACUUUUGAAUUAAAACGGAUUAAAUUACUUCAAAUUUUUUAGAGGAUUCAAUAUGCUCAAUUUACUUAAAUUUUUUUAGAGGAUUCAAUAUGUUCAAUUUUAAAAUUAAAAGGGAUUAAAUUACUUUAAUUUUUUUAGAAGAUUCAAUAUGCUCAAUUUCAAAAUUGAGAGGGACUCACCUAUAUAUAUUUGCUGUAUUUUCAUAUUUUGUUUUGCUUUUGUGUAGUGUAAGCAUCAAUUAGCUGCAAGGCUUGCUGGAUCAUUGGGAGCUUGUAUUGAAGUUAAAGUGUCUGAUGAACAGCUAGCUGUAUUACUUUCUGAGCUCUAAAUUUUUGUAGUAAAAUCGUAGCGGGUCGGAUCCGAAAUUUAAUCUAGUUGGUUCAUGCAGUUACAUUUAAAGAAAUGACAUUCAAUAAAUAUGAUUCAAUUUUUGAUAAAUAAAAAUAUUGUUUGUAUGUUUAACAACAAAAAGAAUGAACAAAUUAUAAUCAUCAAAUCAAGGAACAAUAUUGUGAGUUUUCAUCUUUUUAAUCCAUGAAUUGAACGACGUUUUCGAGUUUCGGAACCCGACAAAUCCAUGUUCUUUGCUCUUGUUCAUGCUAUCCAACAGUGACUUCCCCGAAAGCACCGAAUCAACGAACUGCCAUGCUCCGGCAUUGCUCAAUUUCAUCGGCAAAAGACCGUUCUCCCUCACGAUGUUGUCCCACACCGGACCUUUGUCUUUCAUCAUUUCAACCAAGCUUGGCACCUUCUCUUCGGUUUCUUGAAAUCCGUAGUGUUCGAUACCGAACUGGUCAGCUAACACUUUCCAUAAGUCCUUCCACUUAAACACAUCUCCAUUGCUACAAUUAAAGGCUUCGUUUUUCGCUCGCCGGCUCAUUGCUGCCCAUAUUUGAUGUUCUGCAAUCAAAUCCGCAUCCGAUGCAUCCCAGUACCCUUCCCACGCUUGUCGGUUCCCCGGAAACCUCAACGGCUCGCUUUCAUGCUUACAUAUCGACGCGUAAAUGCAUAAACUCCGAACUAUAUUCAUCGAACUAAACGGAGAAAACCCAAAAACCAAUCCCGGCCUAUGAACAGACCAUGUCAAGUUCUCCUUCUGCUUCACUUCUUCCAACAAAACAUCCUCGAGCGUAUAACACAAGUUUGACGACUUAAGCCUCGGAAGAUCCUCGCGAAAAGGAGGAUCAUGGGGCUGAACAUGAUAUUUUCCGUACAAAUCAAUCGGACCGGUGUAAUGCCGACGACCGGUUUGCAAGCAUAUAUGUUUCAACUUGGGUGAAUUCGGGAUUACCGCUUUCAACACGUUCCGUAACAUAGUACCAUUGAUAACGCAGUUUUCAUCUUCAGUUGAUCUCUUAUCCCAUGCAACAUAAAACACAUGAGUCACAUCGUUAAGCUUUGAUAAUUUAUCACAUGUUUCUUCUUCAUCUAAAACAUCGCAUUGUAUGUACUCAAUAGGCAAAUGACUAGUCGAGGCUGGUCGAGGCUGACGAGCAACACCGUAGACCUUCCACGGUCCGCCGGGAAUACCGGAGAACGGAAGAAUCUCGGCGAGACUGUUACCGACUAUGCCGGUGAUGCCAAUGACCAAAGCAACACUCUUGUACUUGGAUUGUUUAUCAUGUUCUUCCAUUUUCUUCUGUAAAAAAAAAAAAAAUCUGGGUUCAUUAGAUUAAAUGCAGAGAAAGAGAACCCAAAAAAAUGAAUGAGCAUUAACGUACCUUGGCAGCACCAAUGGCUCCUGCCCACCACCAACUCAUUGUAUGUUUUUCUUUUGCUGUUAAUGAAAAAAAAUGCUGAAUUACAUCCUUAAACUUUGUCUGCAAUGUUUUUAUAGUGAUCCGCUUUGAUAAAAGUGACGUCUGGGAAUUUAAAAAAGGAAAAAAAAACCAAUCUUAUCUAUUUACAUGUAUCAACUACAGCUCAACAAGAACUUGUUAUCAAUUUGAUUUCUUUAUAAUAAUAAUAAUAAUAAUAAUUUUAGUUGGGAUAAAUUACAAGAAUAGUCACUCUUGUUUGUCUUAGAUUAUAUUUUAGUCAAUUAUGUUAUCGUUUUGUUACGAAGUGGUCACUCUACCGCUAAACUCCGUUACCUCCCUAGCGGUAGUUCUACGUGACAGUUAAAAUUAAAUUUAUUUAAUUAAAAACAUAUUUUCAUCCCAGUAGCUGGACAUCCAAGUUGGCAUUUAAAACAUGUUUGGAUUGCUACGUAGGACAAUCGUUAGGGAGGUAACGGAGCUUAACGGUAGAGCGACCAUUUCAUAACAAAAUGAUAACAUAUGUGACUAAAAUAUAACAUUUUAAACAUAAAUGAUUAAAAUGUAAUAUGAUUCAAACAAAAGUAACUAUUUUUAUAGUUUACCAUUUUAUUUUUAAUUUGUUUGAAUAAACAUGGAUACAACACAUAUAUUUUAUAUAAAAUAAUUUAAGUGGCGGAAUUUUUUAAAAGAAAAUCAGAAAGGACGUGGAAAAUGGGUUAAUUGGUGAAUAUGUGUAAAUCCUUCAAUAAUUGAAUUGGUCAGCCAACACUUAAAGACUAAGGAUUAGACAGCUAGUAAACACAUCAGCAUAUAAUCAAGCUUGCGUGGAGAACCUAGCGUGUAAGGAAACAAUACAUCCUUAUCUAUUCACUAAAUCUUCUAAUGCUAUGAAAAAAAAGGAUAGAAUUUUGUGAAUUUUAUAAUUGGAAAGUUUAAGGAUAGGAAAUUAAUAUGAAAUUUGGCUUUUUUGUUUUUUUAAUUUGUAUUCCAAGUUAGUUUUUUACUAUUUAAGUCAAACAUUUCUAUUGGGUAUUGUUAAAUUAACAUGAGUAUUAUUGUUAAUAUAGAGGAAUGUGUGUUUGAGUGCGUUGAAGUGUUAGGUCUGUUCUUGACGUUUUUGGGCCUUAACAAAACAAUAAAAUGGGUUUCAAGUUCCUUAAAAGUUGAAGAAAAAAAAUUUGGUCCCUAAAAGUUGGUAAAAAAAAUUUGGCCUUUAAAAGUUAAAAAUAAGAAUUUUGGGCCCCUUAACAAUUGGAGAAUAAUAUUUUAGACCCCUUUCAGCCUUGGGCUCUGGGAAGCCGCACCUCUAGACGACCUCUAGAGCCAGGCCUGUGAAGCGCAUUAUCCUCUUAUUUAUGGGUUGGAGUAUAAUCAGAACCUAUAAUGAGAUUGUUAAAAAAAAUUUUAAAACAAAAAAGUUUUAAGAUGGAUUGUGAAUUUAAGGUUUUUUUUUAAUGGUUACAAGUUGCUUGGAAACAAAAUAUUAGUAAAUCAGAAUAGAAAAAUAAAUAAAUAAAUAAAUUGAAAACAAUUAGUCUCUCGAUAUGAUAAAUUAAUUUUGUUUAACAUUCGUUGUAACGACGGUUAGAAAGAAAACAAGCAGCGAAAAAAAUAAAAGAAGAAAAGAAUUGACACAACCGAUCUUUGUUAAUACAGUUUAGACACAGUGGUCCUAUAUUUGCGGAGCCUCUCCCAGUGAAUGAUUUUAUUCAACAAUCGUUCGGAUCACCUAUUGGCUUAAGCCCGAUUACCUUUACACAAAGAAAUAAUUCAAGCUUCAAUAUUGACCCCAAUUGUCACAAAUCACUCACCCAAAUACCUCACAAUAUGAUAGACUUUAAACUCCUAUUUAAAAGUUGAAAUUAUCCCAUUAAUUAUCUUUAGUACCCCAGGGUGAAUCAAACUCAGUAUAAACGAAACCUAUUUAAGGCCCAAGUCAAUAACUUAAGUAGAGAAACAGUUUCGUUAUAAUUGGACAUAAAACAAACAGCAAUUUUCCCAACAAAAACAUAAUGGGGAGAGCGAGACUUAUUCCUAAGUUGGCAAAUGCAAUUGCUCAGCUGUUUGUUUCAUGCAAAACUUAGUUGGCAAUUAACAAAUUCAAAUAGGCUCAACAUCUUUAACCUAUGGAUAGAAUUUCUAAUGCCAAUUUGAAUUCCUUCCUUCCAAGAAAUCCUUCAACAUUUUUAUCUCUUUGUGCAAGCAUUAUUGUAACAAGUCCAUCUUCUUAACUUUCACUAGAGAAUCUGUGGUGAUAUGGAGUUUACAGUAAACCCUAUUCGAAUGGGGAGUAACAAUCCUCUUUUGUCCGAUGAUUCUUUUGUUUUGGGUAAGAAUUCCAAAAUUCAUUUUACAAAGAGUAAACGAAAGUUGUGUUAUUGUUUAUGGGAAUACAUGAAAGUAAUCUAGAGUCGAGCAUUUUAUACCAUUUGUCUUAUAGAAUUUUGGGUUAACUUCGUUUGGUCGGUAAAUUUGACGAUAUAUGUCAUGUUAAUCUUUCUAAAAAAGUAAAUGGUGAAUUACAUUAAUGGUUAUCUAAUUAUGAUUUUUUUUUAUCACCCAACCAUAAAAAAUUACAAAAUAGUUAGUCAAUUAUUAGUAUUUUUUUUAUCAUCCAAUUAUAAAAAAGUGACAAAAUAAUCUUCAUUUUCAUGUUAACCGACUAAUAACUAAAAAAUUAAUUGAAUAAUUAGAUGAUCAUUUUGUAAAAUUUUCAUAGUUAGGUGAUAAAUGAAACUAUAAUCUGAGUGUCCUCUAUUAUAGUUUUGAGUAUAUAAAUAAUAAAAUUGCACAUCCUAUUUGAUAUUUUUGAGCAAAAGAAAAGAAAAGAAUAAUGAACUUGGAUACAUGGUAUUAGAGCGACUUAUGAUUGCAAUUGCACAUCCUAUAUGAUAUUUUUUUAGCAAAAAAAAAAAAGAGAAAAGAAUAAUAACCUUAAAUACAUGGUAUUAGAGCGACCUAUGAUUGCAAUUCCACAUUGACUUCCCAUAGGAUGGAUCAAUAGGUACUCCAAGUCAAACUCCUAAAGUGUGCAGUAGGAGAAAAUAACAACAAAACCCAUGACAAACGCAACACGAGUUUAGAUGGAGAAGAAUAUUAAGCGAAACACUAAAAAAAUUAGAUAACAUUAUUAAUCCCAUAUCAAAAAACAAAUAAGAAAACAAGUAGACUUGUACGCUCUAGGAAAGCAUAUGACUAAUAUCACUAGGGGGGUUUAGCUAGGUACAGCUGAUGGUCCCAAGUUGAAAGGGACUCUUGAGUAUCGCUGAUGUUUUGACCUUAGUCCUAUAUAAUAGGGGCAAAACACUAUCUAUCCGGCGCGUCCACACCCAAUGAGAUAGAUUUUUGGUCACCUAGACUGAAUGGUCUAUGGACGCCUCUAAUCCAGCUGACUUAUCCUAUUUUAUACACAAAAAUGUUGAAAUCUCUAAAUAAUGAAGAGUAAACUAAAAUCAAAUAGCUUCCAUUAACAAGACAUGGGGUUAGAGCUUAGGGUUUAGAAUUAAUAAAGAAUCAUGAUUGCAAGCCAAACCUGGAUCAUUCAUAUACAUUAGAUGACAAUGAUAUCUCUAUAAGUUUUAGCAUUAAAACUAGGUUUGAGGAAACAUCAAAACAGAAAAUCCAAUUUGCAGACAUAAAAUACUUCAUUAAUUACAUUAACAAAAAGCUUAUCAAACAUUCCUUUGGAAAACAAUUUUGCAAAGACACUGUUAACUGCACAUAAUGAUUUAUAUUUGACUUGUAUAAAAGCAAUUGUACAUACCUUUUCAAGAUUUUCAAUUCCCCUCUUUCUUGUUUCAUCUGCUAUAUAAUACAAAAUUCCCCAUCAGCUACAUGCAUAGCUAAAUAGAGCUUUAGGCAUUCAAAAAGCUAAAGAACACAUGUUGGCCUCGAGGAAACACACAGAACCGUGCACAACGUCACAUUUCCACUUUCUCAGCAUGCUCGAAUUGAUGAACACAACGAACAGUGCUAACACAAUACUAAAAAGGUUUUCUUUAUGGAAGACAACUUUCUAUGACCAUUUUUCCACGACACGCUCUGAUAAUCUAAUUUCCUCAUCCUUGGAAAUAUGUGGAUCUAGCUUCUGAAGGUUGUCAAUAAAUGUCUUUGCCUCAUCACGCUGAUUGAGUUUACAAUAUCCAUCAACUAUGGAAUUGUAUGUAUUCUGGUUUGGUUUACAGCCGUGCUUGAUCAUGAAUUGGACAACAUCUAUGGCUUCCUCAAACAAGGAAUCAGCUGCAUAGCUUGCAACAAAGGUAUUGUAAGUGAUAACAUCUGGAACAAGGCCAGAAUCACCCAUUUCUGAAAAUAUCCGAGAAGCCUCUUUCAUUCGACCGUUUCUACAAUAGGCAUAAAUAACAGUGUUAUACGAGAUUAUAUCUGGUUUUAUUCCUUUUGCCUGAACUUCCCUUAAAAUUUGUUCUGAUUCCUCGAACUUUUCAGAGCGGCUAUACAUAUACAUCAAACUGUUGUAGGUCGUCAAGCUCGGAGUAUACCCACACUCAUUCAUGAAGUUCAAGAUCUCAUUUGUCUUGGAAACCAUCUGCCUCCUGCCAUAUAUUGAGAGCAUGGCAUUUAGAGUAGUUAUGUCAGGUGGAAAUCCUUUCUUCCUCAAUUCCAAGAAAGCACGCUCUGUAUCCGCAAGAAGGUCGCAUUUACUAUUAACCAAAACAAGAGUCUUUAACAGCACAGCAUGAGGUUCGAUGAUACCGGAGUAUAUCUCUUCCGCUAGGGCAUGCAUCCGAUCUACCUGCUUCCCAUUGGCAUAAACAUGAAGCAAAGAACAGUAGGUUAGCUCAUUGGGUUUGCAACGACCGUCUCUCAUUUCAGCCAGUAUUUUCUCAGACUGCUUCCAAAGCCCUCCCCGUGCCAAUGCCGCCAAAACAGCAUUAUAUGUAGAAAGGUCGGGGGUAACUCCAGCUUCCAGCAUUCUCUUAUAAAUAGCCAUGGCUUGAUCAAAAGCACCACAGCGACUGUAUGCACUAAUUAAAGUGUUGAAUGUGUCCCUUUCAGGUACAAACCCUGCCCUCUUCAUCUCCUUGAACACUCCAGACACUUCUACAUCCAUUCCAUUUUGCCCAAAUACUGCCAGUAGUGUAUUCCAAGUAACAAUAUCCGGUGCACCAUUGCAUGCCUUGAUCUCGUCAAAAAUCUUCAUCAUCUCAGUGAACUUCCCGCGGUUACCGUGCAUCUUAAUUAGAGCAUUGAAAGUGCAAAUAUUCGGCUUGCAACCAGAAGUUCUCAUCUCCUCAAAAACCGCCAUUGCAGACUCAUCUUUUCCGGCCUUGGCAAAUCCCGACAAAAGAGUGGUAUAGGUAAAAACAUCAGGCUUAAUCCCUUUUCCCUCCAUCUGUGUUUUCAAGUCCAUUGCUUCCUGCAACAGACCAUCCCUAGCAUAAGCGGAAAUCAACGAAUUAUAAGUCACAGUGCUAGGGGCAAACCCAUUAAGCUCCAUCUCUUUUAAAACCUCCAUAGCUUCCUUCGGACGCCGAGACUUACCAUAAACAUCCAACAAUGCAUUGUAAGUAACAUUAUCUGGAGUAAAACCAGCCAAUUUCAUUUCAUCGAAAACCGAAGCCGCUUCCUCAUGCAAAGACCCUCGACGACAGCUACUUAUAAGCGUAUUAUAAGUAUAAGCAUCAGGGGCAAUUCCAUCACUUUUCAUUCCAUCAAAAAGAGCCAUGACCUUACUCCAAGGCAUGCCCAUUUUACCAUACACAUUCAAAACCACAUUAUAAGUUAUCAAAGUAGGUUUACAACCCUCUUCCUCCAUUUUCUUAAAAACCACCAUGGCUUCCCUAUACCUCCCACUACCAGCAUAAGCAGUUAUCAAUGAAGUAUAAGCAUAAACAUCAAGACUAAACCCUUCUUUGUGCAAACCAUUAAACAAAUUAGCUGCAACAGAAACCCUCCCCUCUUUCCCUAACAUACUAAUAAUAAUAGCAACAACAGAGCUAUUCAACACCAAUCCACAAUCAUUUCUAGCUCUAACCCAAUUGAAAACACCCAAAGCCAAGUUAGAUUUCUUGUAAAAACCCAAAGCUUUAACAAUUCCCACCACUUCCGCAGCCAAAAAAUCAGCUUUCACAUCUGGGUUUUCUUGGUAUUGCUCAAACAACUUACUCAAAACAACAUCAAGUUGAUUAGAAUCAAAAGAAGGUUCAAUUAAGGAAUUAAGAACCUGCUGACCUUGAGCAGAGAGGUUGUUAUGAGUCCAACGCUUCCCACGGUUGACGUCACGUGACCGGCCGAGACGGUUCCGGGUCCGGACUUGUGGGUCGAUGGGUUGUUGGGACUUAGAAUUAUGUCGAAGAAGGAGGUCUUGAAAGACUGGAGUCGAGGGAGCAGGUGAAUUGGGUUGUGAAGUUGGGUUUUGUUGAGUGAAGUGAGUUUGGUUUGAUAAUGGGGUUUUAACAGGUGGGGGAUUUGGAAGGAGAAGAGGGAGAGCAAGCCUCUCUGCCAUUAAAGAGAGGAUAAGAAAGUUGCAGCCUUUGUAUCUAUGGUUGAGUUAGAAACAGAGAGGGAGAAAAAGAAAAGGGUAAUUGAUAAUUUUAGUGCGCUUUCGUUAUUACUUGCAGAGUCCACAACUUUUUUUUUUAGAAGUCUAAGGCUUAAAGGGGGACAUGACAAAGAUAUGCGGAGGAUAUUUUAGGAGGUAAAAGGGAGAUUAUAUUCUUCUGUGGUUAAGAAUGAACUAUUGAAAUACUAUGACCAAUAAAAGGUUGCCACGUAAACUCUGAAAGCGGACUCUUAAGUCAAAAUUGGUGACGUUUGCCCUCUUCAAAAUUAGUUCGAUUAGACAAAUUAUACUUAUUUAAACAUUUUCUCUUUUAUUUUUAUAUAAAAAUUAAUUUAAAGUGAAGCUUAAUAUUAUUAUAUUAAUAAUAUUUUUUAUUUUAAAAAAUAUUUAAAAUUAAUAAAAUAUUUAUAAUUUUCAAUAUUAUUAAUCAUACUUAUUUAAUUAUCUAUUUCUAAUCAUAUUAAUAACUUAUUAUUUUAAUAAUUUAUUUAAUAAUUUAAUUUUAUUUUAAAAAUAAAUUUGAAAAAUAAUAAUUUUAAAUAAUAUUCUUCAUAUAGUAUUGAAAAAUAUUCAAUGUUAAUAUUUUAAUAAUAAAUAUUUAUUACAAUUAUAAAUAUAUUACAGAUAAAUAUUUUGUAGUAUAAAUGUUAAAAUAUGUCAUAAAUAUAUAUACUCCUCACAAAUUUGAAAUUUAGUCCCUAUUCUUUUAUUUUCAAGAAUUUAAUCAUUCUACUGUUCAUAUUUAAAAAUCAAGUCCAAUUGUUAACAUUGUUAAAUUUUUUUUGUCAAUUUUGUUGAUGUCAAUUUUUAAAUAAAAAAUACUUGAUAUUCAUGUAACUAAAAGAUGACGUUACAAUUAACAUGAAUUUAACAAAAUAUUUUUAAUAAUGCUAUCAGAUGAACCUUAAUUUUGAUAUAUAAAAGGUAGGACUAACCCAAAAAUAAAAGCACAUGGACUAAAUUUCAAAUUUACGAAAAGUACAAUGACUUAUGACAUAUUUUAACCUAGUAUAAAAAUAUGAAUAUUUUAAUUAUAUAAAUUUGAAUAUUUGUUUAAGUAAUGUUUAGCUUCAUUUAUCCUUUACAACUCUAAUGUGUCAAUAUCUAUUCUCACAUAUCUAAUAUAUAUAAUUAAAAUUAAGUUUUAAUUAAGCAUUAUUUAUUAUUAAGUUUAUAUAUGACACUGAUUAUUACAAAAUAUUUUCUUAUUAUAAAAUAAAUUUCAAUUGUUAAAAGGAAAUUGCACUGUAAUAUUUUAUAACAAAUAUAUUUAUGUCAUGUUUGUUUUACAAAGAACAAUGUAAAAUAUAAAUUUAUAGAUAUAAAAUAAACUCAAUUAAACAAUGAAAAUAUAAGAAAAUCUCAUAUGUAUGUUUGUUUCAUUGAAAACAACUUUUAUGAAAUAUUUAUAGUAAAUCUGUCAAAUAACAGAAAAUAUUAAUUUUUCAAAAAAGUAAGUCAUUUUCCAGAAAUCAUUUUUCGGAAGUCAUUUUCAGUGAAACAAAUGGAACCUAAACUUGAAAAUCGUAAGUUAACUUGAUAUUUUUUUAGGCACCUAAUACUAUUAAAAUAUACUGACAUAACACUGACGAUCAAUUGGAUGGUGACACGUGAUAACCUCACAUUUUUUAUUAUAAAUAUUAUAUUUUUUUAUUUUGCCACGUGUCAAAAUAUAAGGCUAUCACGUGUCACCAUUCUAUUAGUAGUCAACGUCACAUCAGCGUAUUUUAAUGAUGUUAGUCAAGUAGCUAAAAAAACACAAAGUUGACUUAUAAUUUUUAAGUUUAGGUACCAGUCAGGGCCAAAAUUAAACUAUGUAAUUGAUAUUUAUGUCAUUAUUGUUGUUUAUUUGUGUAACUAAGAAUUGAUGACUUUAUUGUUUCAACCACUAAUUCGGUUUCCAAAAAACAUUGAUUCAAAGGAAACUAACCUAAACCGAACUAUAUAAUUGAUGUUUAUGCCAUUAUUAUAUAUGUGUUUAUAAUAACUAGAAUCGAUAACUUAACCGUUUCAACCACCUCUUCCAACUUCUAAAAAAAACAUUGGUAAAUGGAAGUUAGAUUAUUUUCAAAUCUUCAAGCUUUAUAAGUUAUUGAAUCGAGUGAUAAAAUACUUAUUAAUUCAUAAAAAGUUGAUGAAUCGUUUGAAAAGAAAGAAAAAGAAAAAGAAAAACCAAUGCUAAAAAAUGCUUGUUUCUUAUUUAGAAGUCCAAUUCAACUCAAGUUGUGUUUAGUAUUACUUUUAAGAAGUAUUUUUGAGAAAAAAAUACUUUUGAGAUAAAAACAUUAUUAAAUAAAAUGCUAAAUUGACCCGCAAUCGAUACCUGUGGGNNNNNNNNNNNNNNNNNNNNNNNNNNNNNNNNNNNNNNNNNNNNNNNNNNNNNNNNNNNNNNNNNNNNNNNNNNNNNNNNNNNNNNNNNNNNNNNNNNNNNNNNNNNNNNNNNNNNNNNNNNNNNNNNNNNNNNNNNNNNNNNNNNNNNNNNNNNNNNNNNNNNNNNNNNNNNNNNNNNNNNNNNNNNNNNNNNNNNNNNNNNNNNNNNNNNNNNNNNNNNNNNNNNNNNNNNNNNNNNNNNNNNNNNNNNNNNNNNNNNNNNNNNNNNNNNNNNNNNNNNNNNNNNNNNNNNNNNNNNNNNNNNNNNNNNNNNNNNNNNNNNNNNNNNNNNNNNNNNNNNNNNNNNNNNNNNNNNNNNNNNNNNNNNNNNNNNNNNNNNNNNNNNNNNNNNNNNNNNNNNNNNNNNNNNNNNNNNNNNNNNNNNNNNNNNNNNNNNNNNNNNNNNNNNNNNNNNNNNNNNNNNNNNNNNNNNNNNNNNNNNNNNNNNNNNNNNNNNNNNAAUAUAUCUUAAAUUUUAUUUUAUUGUAAUUUUAUAUGAAUUGAUUAUAAUUUUAAUUGACCGAAUAUAUAUCCUUUAUUAUUUAUAUUAUAUUUGUACUUGUAAUUUUUUUAAAAAUUUAAAUUAAACAUGCCCUUUUUUUAAAAAUGUAAAUAUAAAUAUUUGUUUAUAUUAUAAUGUGUUUAUAAUAAGAGUCAGAUUAUAUAUAUAUAUAUUUGUAAUAGAGUCAGAUUAUAUUUUACAUCUUCUGUUCGAAAAAAUUGGAAAAUUAAUCAACAGAUAAAAAUUAAAUCUAUUCUUAUUAUUAAAAAUUAUUUAAUUUCUGAAAAAAUUCUUAUAGGUAACCUUUUAGAUCUUUUUUAGCUGUGUUUAUUAAAAAAAAUAAAAAAAUAUAAAAGUAGUUUUUUUAGAGUAAAUGUAAAACUUUAAAAUAAUUGUAAUAUGUAAAAUUAAAAAUAUUAAACUAUUUACAACCGUCGGAUUAAAAAUGAUAUAUUUUUGAAUGAUGAUGAAGAUCGAUUCCUGAUGUAUAUAAAUACUGCCUUCUAUUCCCUUCAGUCUUCGCUUCACCCACUUUCUCAUUUCACACGGGUUGUGGCGUAGUUUAAGCAGAGAGGGUGCGCAGGAUAAAGCUAUUCACCAUUGUUUCAACAUGAAGGUUUGUAAUAAAAAUUUGUUUCUAUCAGCAUUGCUUUGCAUUGCUGUUGCAGGAGUUUUGGGUCAAGCUCCUAGUAAUCCUCCUACGUCUACGCCGGCGCCACCCACACCACCGGCUUCUACUCCUCCUCCGACGACUCAAGCACCGCCUACACCAACCGCCACUCCGCCACCGGUUUCUACUCCUCCUCCCACUUCAUCACCGCCCCCAGUGACAGCUUCUCCACCCCCAGUUUCAACUCCUCCACCCAGUUCUCCUCCUCCUGCAACUCCACCACCUGCUUCUCCUCCUCCUGCAACUCCACCUCCAGCUUCUCCACCUCCUGCCACUCCUCCACCAGCUUCUCCACCUCCCGCCACUCCACCACCUGCAACCCCACCGCCAGCAACUCCUCCUCCUGCUACCCCACCACCAGCUCCAUUGGCUUCUCCUCCAGCCACAGUCCCAGCUAUCUCUCCAGUACAAACACCAUUGACAUCGCCACCAGCUCCGCCGACCGAGGCCCCAGCAC
RNAcentral lists this long non-coding RNA (28507 nucleotides) under Gossypium barbadense (sea-island cotton). RNAcentral describes it as "long non-coding RNA (GBAR_LNC014573)". The record is from RNAcentral. Lineage: Eukaryota; Viridiplantae; Streptophyta; Magnoliopsida; Malvales; Malvaceae.